Streptomyces sp. CNQ-509 is the source of this 75-nucleotide non-coding RNA. It matches the Rfam family "ASpks TB sRNA". Lineage: Bacteria; Bacillati; Actinomycetota; Actinomycetes; Kitasatosporales; Streptomycetaceae. The record is from Rfam.
CUUCACCGCACCCAGCCACAACGGACGCUCAGCACUGUGCGCCCGACCAUACGUCGCCAGAAGAGCCUGGGCCUC